RNAcentral lists this unclassified non-coding RNA (343 nucleotides) under soil metagenome. RNAcentral's name for it is "partial contains 5.8S ribosomal RNA, internal transcribed spacer 2, and large subunit ribosomal RNA". The stretch from base 1 to 120 matches the Rfam family "5.8S ribosomal RNA", at positions 35 to 154 of the family's 154-position model. The record is from RNAcentral.
GAUGAAGAACGUAGCGAAAUGCGAUAAGUAAUGUGAAUUGCAGAAUUCAGUGAAUCAUCGAAUCUUUGAACGCACAUUGCGCCUGCCAGCAUUCUGGCGGGCAUGCCUGUUCGAGCGUCAUUUCAACCCUCGAGCCCCCCCGGGGGCCUCGGUGUUGGGGGACGGCACACCAGCCGCCCCCGAAAUGCAGUGGCGACCCCGCCGCAGCCUCCCCUGCGUAGUAGCACACACCUCGCACCGGAGCGCGGAGGCGGUCACGCCGUAAAACGCCCAACUUUCUUAGAGUUGACCUCGGAUCAGGUAGGAAUACCCGCUGAACUUAAGCAUAUCAAUAAGCGGAGGA